RNAcentral lists this ribosomal RNA (845 nucleotides) under Streptococcus agalactiae. Its description in RNAcentral is "bacterial SSU rRNA". It matches the Rfam family "Bacterial small subunit ribosomal RNA", at positions 8 to 836 of the family's 1533-position model. The record is from RNAcentral. Lineage: Bacteria; Bacillati; Bacillota; Bacilli; Lactobacillales; Streptococcaceae.
AGAGUUUGAUCCUGGCUCAGGACGAACGCUGGCGGCGUGCCUAAUACAUGCAAGUAGAACGCUGAGGUUUGGUGUUUACACUAGACUGAUGAGUUGCGAACGGGUGAGUAACGCGUAGGUAACCUGCCUCAUAGCGGGGGAUAACUAUUGGAAACGAUAGCUAAUACCGCAUAAGAGUAAUUAACACAUGUUAGUUAUUUAAAAGGAGCAAUUGCUUCACUGUGAGAUGGACCUGCGUUGUAUUAGCUAGUUGGUGAGGUAAAGGCUCACCAAGGCGACGAUACAUAGCCGACCUGAGAGGGUGAUCGGCCACACUGGGACUGAGACAAGGCCCAGACUCCUACGGGAGGCAGCAGUAGGGAAUCUUCGGCAAUGGACGGAAGUCUGACCGAGCAACGCCGCGUGAGUGAAGAAGGUUUUCGGAUCGUAAAGCUCUGUUGUUAGAGAAGAACGUUGGUAGGAGUGGAAAAUCUACCAAGUGACGGUAACUAACCAGAAAGGGACGGCUAACUACGUGCCAGCAGCCGCGGUAAUACGUAGGUCCCGAGCGUUGUCCGGAUUUAUUGGGCGUAAAGCGAGCGCAGGCGGUUCUUUAAGUCUGAAGUUAAAGGCAGUGGCUUAACCAUUGUACGCUUUGGAAACUGGAGGACUUGAGUGCAGAAGGGGAGAGUGGAAUUCCAUGUGUAGCGGUGAAAUGCGUAGAUAUAUGGAGGAACACCGGUGGCGAAAGCGGCUCUCUGGUCUGUAACUGACGCUGAGGCUCGAAAGCGUGGGGAGCAAACAGGAUUAGAUACCCUGGUAGUCCACGCCGUAAACGAUGAGUGCUAGGUGUUAGGCCCUUUCCG